RNAcentral lists this ribosomal RNA (253 nucleotides) under uncultured bacterium. Its description in RNAcentral is "partial 16S ribosomal RNA". It matches the Rfam family "Bacterial small subunit ribosomal RNA", at positions 524 to 776 of the family's 1533-position model. The record is from RNAcentral.
UACGUAGGGGGCAAGCGUUGUCCGGAUUUAUUGGGCGUAAAGAGCGUGUAGGCGGCCAGAUAGGUCCGUUGUGAAAACUCGAGGCUCAACCUCGAGACGCCGAUGGAAACCAUUUGGCUAGAGUCCGGAAGAGGAGAGUGGAAUUCCUGGUGUAGCGGUGAAAUGCGCAGAUAUCAGGAAGAACGCCCGUGGCUAAGGCGGCUCUCUAGUACGGUACUGACGCUGAGACGCGAAAGCGUGGGGAGCGAACAGG